RNAcentral lists this ribosomal RNA (622 nucleotides) under uncultured bacterium. RNAcentral's name for it is "bacterial SSU rRNA". It matches the Rfam family "Bacterial small subunit ribosomal RNA", at positions 57 to 726 of the family's 1533-position model. The record is from RNAcentral.
GCAGUCGAGCGCACCCUUCGGGGCGAGCGGCGGACGGGUUAGUAACGCGUGGGAACAUACCCUUUUCUAUGGAAUAGCCUUUGGAAACGAAGAGUAAUACCAUAUACGCCCUACGGGGGAAAGAUUUAUCGGAGAAGGAUUGGCCCGCGUAAGAUUAGAUAGUUGGUGGGGUAAUGGCCUACCAAGUCUACGAUCUUUAGCUGGUUUUAGAGGAUGAUCAGCAACACUGGGACUGAGACACGGCCCAGACUCCUACGGGAGGCAGCAGUGGGGAAUCUUAGACAAUGGGCGCAAGCCUGAUCUAGCCAUGCCGCGUGUGUGAUGAAGGCCUUAGGGUCGUAAAGCACUUUCGCCAGAGAUGAUAAUGACAGUAUCUGGUAAAGAAACCCCGGCUAACUCCGUGCCAGCAGCCGCGGUAAUACGGAGGGGGUUAGCGUUGUUCGGAAUUACUGGGCGUAAAGCGUACGUAGGCGGAUCAGAAAGUAGGGGGUGAAAUCCCGAGGCUCAACCUCGGAACUGCCUCCUAAACUCCUGGUCUUGAGUUCGAGAGAGGUGAGUGGAAUUCCAAGUGUAGAGGUGAAAUUCGUAGAUAUUUGGAGGAACACCAGUGGCGAAGGCGGCU